GGAAGUGGAGUUGGCAACAUACAUAGAGAAAUUAGAUAAUGAAGAAUGUGUGACUGCCACCAUGACAGUGGAAUCUACAGUUCAGCUUAAUGAAAUACAAAAUCUGAAAAGGAGGAUUGCAGAAUUGGAAGGCAAGGAAACUGGUAUUGACAUGGAGAAGAUUGCCAAGAAAAAGGAGAUUCAAGAAAAGUACAAGGCAGAAAUUGAAAGCUUGUUGUCAGACCCAACAAUCUUUGAAAUGGAGAUGGAUCUGCCUACAAAACAACCAACACAACCAGUUGAAGAGAAAGAAGAAGAAAAGAAAGAAGAAGAGAAGCAACAAGAAGAGAGAGAAGAAGAGAAGAAGCAAGAUGCUCCAACACCUGAUGUUCCUUCAAGACUACAAAGGGUGAAGAACAGAGAAAGAAAGAGGCUUCAAGCAUCUUGCUAUGUGUACGAAAAAAAUAAGAAAACAAAAAAGGAGGCAAAAAAGGAUGAUGAAGAACUACCACAAUUCAAGCUUAUCUCUUCCGAGGAGUUAACACAAGAGGCAUCUCAGCCCGAUGCCACAAAUCCAAUUCCUGACCCCCCCUAAAGGAACGAGCCUUCAUGAUUCAAUACCUGUGGAUCUACAACAAUCAAGUGAUGAAGAUGAAGGACAAAAAAAGCAAACAAAGAAAAAACUAGGAUGGGGUCAGAAAAAGGUGUGGCAGAAAAUUCCAAAGCCGGACAGGGAAAGAAUUGAAAAACACUACUUAAGCACUCAACUUCGGUAACAUCUCUAUUCCAAAAUAACAAUUCUUUCAUCUUUUAAUUACAAUUAAACUAAAACUAAUCUUGUGAAUUUCAUGUAUUCGAAUCCGCAGUGAUAUCUUUUGGGCAGGACUCAAUGAUGAGAAAGUGACAAACCAUGAUCUCAAAGAUAUUGUAUGGGACCUGGAACUGUCACAAAACGUCAUUGAGGCCUAUAUCCAAAUAGAGGAGGAUAAAAUAGAGCCCAUGCAGACAGAGAGUCCACAGUACAUGUCCACAUGGACUUGGGUAAGUAUUAUUUUGAAAAUUCAAAAUUGUUUAAACAGACAAUGCACUGCAGUUUUCGAAAAAAUAUAUACUAACAAAUUGCCAUUCUGUGAUAUCAGGCUUACAUGCAA
This is an RNA transcript of Prunus persica (peach), 1130 nucleotides long. It is a transcript of the gene named glutamic acid-rich protein-like, with no coding region annotated. The record is from RefSeq and is a predicted model, not a curated record. The transcript is spliced from 3 exons. NCBI's taxonomy places the organism in Eukaryota, Viridiplantae, Streptophyta, Magnoliopsida, Rosales, Rosaceae.